GUGAGUCAUCGAAUCUUUGAACGCAUCUUGCGCUCCUUGGUAUUCCGAGGAGCAUGCCUGUUUGAGCGUCGUUGAAUUCUCAGAACCCUAUGAGGGCUGUGGUCUUUGCACUACUGUCCUUCAUGCGGGCUAUGGAUUGUGGAGGAUGCAAUGCCGUCCUACUCUCAGAGAGGGUGUGGCAUCUGCUUCUCUGAAAUGUACUGGCACUGCCAUCGGUAUGAUACACACGUCUAUACCGUGCAGCCAGGCGCAGAUUCUCUCAUGAUUUGACCUCAAAUCAGGCAGGACUACCCGCUGAACUUAAGCAUAUCAAUAAGCGGAGGA
This 324-nucleotide unclassified non-coding RNA is filed under the name Agaricomycetes sp. RNAcentral describes it as "partial contains 5.8S ribosomal RNA, internal transcribed spacer 2, and large subunit ribosomal RNA". The stretch from base 1 to 71 matches the Rfam family "5.8S ribosomal RNA", at positions 84 to 154 of the family's 154-position model. The record is from RNAcentral. Lineage: Eukaryota; Fungi; Basidiomycota; Agaricomycetes.